This 497-nucleotide ribosomal RNA is filed under the name uncultured bacterium. Its description in RNAcentral is "partial 16S ribosomal RNA". It matches the Rfam family "Bacterial small subunit ribosomal RNA", at positions 28 to 507 of the family's 1533-position model. The record is from RNAcentral.
GAUGAACGCUGGCGGCGUGCCUAAUACAUGCAAGUCGAGCGAACAGACGAGGAGCUUGCUCCUCUGACGUUAGCGGCGGACGGGUGAGUAACACGUGGAUAACCUACCUAUAAGACUGGGAUAACUUCGGGAAACCGGAGCUAAUACCGGAUAAUAUAUUGAACCGCAUGGUUCAAUAGUGAAAGACGGUUUUGCUGUCACUUAUAGAUGGAUCCGCGCCGCAUUAGCUAGUUGGUAAGGUAACGGCUUACCAAGGCAGCGAUGCGUAGGCGACCUGAGAGGGGGAUCGGCCACACGGGAACUGAGACACGGUCCAGACUACUACGGGAGGCAGCAGUAGGGAAUCGUACGCAAUGGGCGAAAGCCUGACGGAGCAACGCCGCGUGAGUGAUGAAGGUCUUCGGAGCGUAAAACUCUGUUAUGAGGGAAGAACAAAUGUGUAAGUAACUAUGCACGGCUUGACGGUACCUAAUCAGAAAGCCACGGCUAACUACGUG